This 40-nucleotide transfer RNA is filed under the name Corethron pennatum. RNAcentral's name for it is "partial tRNA". Lineage: Eukaryota; Bacillariophyta; Corethrophyceae; Corethrales; Corethraceae. The record is from RNAcentral.
AGCUCAGUUGGUAGAGCAUCAGAUUCCCAACCCGAAGGUC